This 415-nucleotide ribosomal RNA is filed under the name uncultured crenarchaeote. RNAcentral's name for it is "partial 16S ribosomal RNA". It matches the Rfam family "Archaeal small subunit ribosomal RNA", at positions 330 to 747 of the family's 1478-position model. Lineage: Archaea; Thermoproteati; Thermoproteota. The record is from RNAcentral.
GCGCAGCAGUCGCGAAAACUCCGCAAUACGCGAAAGCGUGACGGGGCUACCCCGAGUGUCGUCCGCUGAGGACGACUUUUCCACGCUGUAAGGAGGCGUGGGAAUAAGGAGAGGGCAAGUCUGGUGUCAGCCACCGCGGUAAUACCAGCUCUCCGAGUGGUAGGGACGAUUAUUGGGCUUAAAGCGUCCGUAGCCGGCUCAGCAAGUCUCCCGUUAAAUCCAACGAUUCAAUCGUUGGACUGCGGGAGAUACUGUUGAGCUAGGAGGCGGGAGAGGCCGACGGUAGUCCCGGGGUAGGGGUGAAAUCCUAUAAUCCCGGGAGGACCACCAGUGGCGAAGGCGGCCGGCCAGAACGCGCCCGACGGUGAGGGACGAAAGCUGGGGGAGCGAACCGGAUUAGAUACCCCUGGAGUCC